GAUAAACGCUGGCGGCGUGCUUAACACAUGCAAGUCGAACGAAGUUUUUCCUUCGGGAGACACUUAGUGGCGGACGGGUGAGUAACGCGUGGGUAACCUGCCCUGUACAGGGGGACAACAGCUGUAAACGGCUGCUAAUACCGCAUAAGCCCUUAGCACUGCAUGGUGCAUAGGGAAAAGGAGCAAUCCGGUACAGGAUGGACCCGCGUCUGAUUAGCCAGUUGGCAGGGUAACGGCCUACCAAAGCGACGAUCAGUAGCCGAUCUGAGAGGAUGUACGGCCACAUUGGGACUGAGACACGGCCCAGACUCCUACGGGAGGCAGCAGUGGGGAAUAUUGCACAAUGGAGGAAACUCUGAUGCAGCGACGCCGCGUGAGUGAAGAAGUAUUUCGGUAUGUAAAGCUCUAUCAGCAGGGAAGAAAAUGACGGUACCUGACAAAGAAGCACCGGCUAAAUACGUG
Molecule: ribosomal RNA, 462 nt
Filed under: uncultured bacterium
Lineage: Bacteria
Description: partial 16S ribosomal RNA
Rfam family: Bacterial small subunit ribosomal RNA
Source: RNAcentral